GAAUUCCAAGCUUCGCGGCCUAUCAGCUUGUUGGCGGGGUAACGGCCCACCAAGGCAUCGACGGGUAGCUGGUCUGAGAGGACGAUCAGCCACACUGGGACUGAGACACGGCCCAGACUCCUACGGGAGGCAGCAGUGGGGAAUCUUGCGCAAUGGGCGAAAGCCUGACGCAGCAACGCCGCGUGCGGGAUGACGGCCCUCGGGUUGUAAACCGCUUUCAGUGGGGACGAACCAAGACGGUACCCACAGAAGAAGCCCCGGCCAACUACGUGCCAGCAGCCGCGGUAACACGUAGGGGGCGAGCGUUGUCCGGAUUUAUUGGGCGUAAAGAGCUCGUAGGCGGUUCGAUAAGUCGGGUGUGAAACCUCCAGGCUCAACCUGGAGACGCCACCCGAUACUGUCGUGACUAGAGUCCAGUAGGGGAGCGUGGAAUUCCUGGUGUAGCGGUGAAAUGCGCAGAUAUCAGGAGGAACACCAGUGGCGAAGGCGGCGCUCUGGGCUGGAACUGACGCUGAGGAGCGAAAGCGUGGGGAGCGAACAGGAUUAGAUACCCUGGUAGUCCACGCCGUAAACGUUGGGUACUAGGUGUGGGGUCUUAUCAACGGAUUCCGUGCCGCAGCUAACGCAUUAAGUACCCCGCCUGGGGAGUACGGAGAUCUGG
This 661-nucleotide ribosomal RNA is filed under the name uncultured Iamia sp. Its description in RNAcentral is "bacterial SSU rRNA". It matches the Rfam family "Bacterial small subunit ribosomal RNA", at positions 219 to 897 of the family's 1533-position model. Lineage: Bacteria; Bacillati; Actinomycetota; Acidimicrobiia; Acidimicrobiales; Iamiaceae. The record is from RNAcentral.